This 424-nucleotide ribosomal RNA is filed under the name uncultured bacterium. Its description in RNAcentral is "bacterial SSU rRNA". It matches the Rfam family "Bacterial small subunit ribosomal RNA", at positions 354 to 796 of the family's 1533-position model. The record is from RNAcentral.
GUGGGGAAUAUUGCACAAUGGGCGAAAGCCUGAUGCAGCAACGCCGCGUGAGUGAUGAAGGCCUUCGGGUCGUAAAACUCUGUCCUCAAGGAAGAUAAUGACGGUACUUGAGGAGGAAGCCCCGGCUAACUACGUGCCAGCAGCCGCGGUAAUACGUAGGGGGCUAGCGUUAUCCGGAUUUACUGGGCGUAAAGGGUGCGUAGGUGGUUUCUUAAGUCAGAAGUGAAAGGCUACGGCUUAACCGUAGUAAGCUUUUGAAACUGGGGAACUUGAGUGCAGGAGAGGAAAGUGGAAUUCCUAGUGUAGCGGUGAAAUGCGUAGAUAUUAGGAGGAACACCAGUAGCGAAGGCGGCUUUCUGGACUGUAACUGACACUGAGGCACGAAAGCGUGGGGAGCGAACAGGAUUAGAUACCCGAGUAGUCC